UACGGAGGGGGCAAGCGUUGUUCGGAAUUACUGGGCGUAAAGGGCGCGCAGGCGGCUGCUCAAGUCAGGCGUGAAAGGCCUGGGCUCAACCCGGGAAUUGCGCUUGAGACUGGGCUGGCUUGAGUGCGGGAGAGGAUGGUGGAAUUCCCAGUGUAGAGGUGAAAUUCGUAGAUAUUGGGAAGAACACCGGUGGCGAAGGCGGCCAUCUGGACCGCAACUGACGCUGAGGCGCGAAAGCUAGGGGAGCAAACAGG
RNAcentral lists this ribosomal RNA (254 nucleotides) under uncultured bacterium. Its description in RNAcentral is "partial 16S ribosomal RNA". It matches the Rfam family "Bacterial small subunit ribosomal RNA", at positions 524 to 776 of the family's 1533-position model. The record is from RNAcentral.